UUUACAACCAGAUACCAGUGGCAGGCGUUCAGACAGUUCUGGAACUGAGACUGAUGACAGUUAUGACUGGAAACAGACCAGAAAACUUCAGUCAAGUUUUAACUAUAAGAAAAAUACCAGUAUUGUUCAUUCAGGCAACACUGAUGAGAAACAAUUUAAAGGCUCUAAAUAUGGAAAAGCAUCUAGUCACAUGAACAACUUAGAGCAACAAAAGGGGAGGCAAGCAAGCGGAAAACCAUCUAGCUGUUCUGAUCAGAAGAAACAGAAACAGAAGGGCACUCUGAACAAACAAAUUACAAUUCCGACAGGG
Long non-coding RNA from Thalassophryne amazonica, 310 nucleotides. RefSeq lists it as uncharacterized. The record is from RefSeq and is a predicted model, not a curated record. The transcript has 3 exons. Lineage: Eukaryota; Metazoa; Chordata; Actinopteri; Batrachoidiformes; Batrachoididae.